AUUGAACGCUGGCGGCAGGCCUAACACAUGCAAGUCGAGCGAGCGGCGGACGGGUGAGGAAUGUCUGGGAAACUGCCUGAUGGAGGGGGCUAACUACUGGACACGGUAGCUAAUACCGCAUACCAUCAGAGGUGCCCAGAUGGGAUUAGCCCGUAGGUGGGGUAACGGCUCACACAGGCGACGCUGCCUAGCUGGUCUGAGAGGAUGACCAGCCACACUGGAACUGAGACACGGUCCAGACUCCUACGGGAGGCAGCAGUGGGGAAUAUUGCACAAUGGGCGCAAGCCUGAUGCAGCCAUGCCGCGUGUGUGAAGAAGGCCUUCGGGUUGUAAAGCACUUUCAGCGGGGAGGCGUUACCCGCAGAAGAAGCACCGGCUAACUCCGUGCCAGCCGCCGCGGUAAUAC
RNAcentral lists this ribosomal RNA (406 nucleotides) under uncultured bacterium. RNAcentral's name for it is "partial 16S ribosomal RNA". It matches the Rfam family "Bacterial small subunit ribosomal RNA", at positions 29 to 526 of the family's 1533-position model. The record is from RNAcentral.